This is a long non-coding RNA of Vespa mandarinia (Asian giant hornet), 604 nucleotides long. The record is from RefSeq and is a predicted model, not a curated record. NCBI's taxonomy places the organism in Eukaryota, Metazoa, Arthropoda, Insecta, Hymenoptera, Vespidae.
AGAUGUGAAAUGUUGCCAGAAGUAUUAUCGCAAUACGUACAGAGAGUAAUUGGAAAUCGCAGCAAGGGGAAGGGCGCACGUCGUUCCUCGCUUCGAACUCCAACAGUUGCGAUCUCUUUUUUCUCACUACUUAUUAUCAAGAAAAUAUUUCUCACACUAAUCCAGAAUUAUAUCCUUUUCCCGAUAAAAUACACAUACAUAUACACGUAUACACACAUACAAACACACACACACAUACGUACACGAUGUCCAAACAUAAAAAAUAAAAACGAUUUAUUCGUAUUUUUGAGAAUCGUGAUAUAGCUUCGUAGUGCGCAAGUGUAAUUAGAGCGAAAACGAAAAAAAAAAAAAAUUAAAAACAAAAAAAAAAAAACCAAAAAAAAACCAAAAAAAAAGGAAAGAAAAAAUAAAUAAAUAAAUCAUUAAAUAAAUAAAUGCAACCACGAUUAUAUCGCGAGGAGCACAAAUUGCUACCUUGCAUCUUGUAUUUGCAACGAAAUAACCUUUUUCUCUUUCUACUUGACGAAGACAUCGUAGUUUAAUCAAUCGAUUAUUCAUUAAAAAUACAAAAAAAGAAAAAAAGAAAAAAAUAUAAAGGAAAAAA